This 3755-nucleotide long non-coding RNA is filed under the name Homo sapiens (human). RNAcentral describes it as "HSALNT0247452". The record is from RNAcentral. Lineage: Eukaryota; Metazoa; Chordata; Mammalia; Primates; Hominidae.
CCACACCAGGCCAAAUAUUCUUUCACUUCCCAUCAGGAUGAUGUACUACAUUCAUUCUUUGAAAACUCCCUUAGCUUCAAACGGUUAGUUAGUAACAAAUCAAUAAAGAAUAAAAAUGUAAAACCAGAAGGAAAAUCUGGGUUCCUAAGCAAGUAAAACCCUUCAAUGGAUAAAAACCCAAAGACUAACUCAGAGCAGUGAACAGGGAUGAAGGCAAUCAGUAGCUAUAUUCCAGGUCUGGAAUCAGGAAGUGAUGGCCAAGAAGUUCCAUUUUCCAGAGGUGGAGGGAGUCUAAGAAGCUCACUCAAUGCAGAGGGACCAGAGCAGGCUAGGGAAGGGCUCCCAUGCUUCUGAAAGGAGGUGGAAGAAAAAGUUCCUUGUCCAUCACUUUAACCUGUUGAUUUUAGCAAGCUAUGGUCUUAGAUACGCAGGGAAACAGACGCAGCCUGGAACCCAGGAACAGAACUAUGCCAGCCACUGACUUUAGGACUAGAUAGGGGCUAUCUCCAAUAUUCUGAAGACAUAUAUGAGAAGACAAAAUUCAAAGCCAGCCAUUCUUUUCAAAUUAACCCAUAAAAUAAAUGCAAGCAUUAUUUUUUUCUAGAACUUGAUAAACUGAUUCUAAAAUAUAUAUAAAGGAGUAAAAGACCAAGAAUUGACAUUAAAAUUUUGAAGAACAAAGAAGAGAAGUAUUUCUAUUAGCUAUCAGAUAUAUGAUAAGACUAAAGUUUGGUGGAAAACGAAUACACCAAUCAACAAGAAGAAAGAGCCCCAAAGCACAAAUAUAUAUAUACACACACAUAUAUGGAAGUUAGAUAUAGGAAAGAAAUAAAACAGUGGGGAAAGGAAACCAGUUGGGGAAGGAAUCACUUAAUUCAAAAAUCAGUCAGUCCCCAGGUUUGGAUUCAACCCUUAAGUGUGAAAAUGAAAACAUAGAAACGUACCUUUAUGACCUCAAGUUUCUUAAAGAAGAUGUCAAAACCACAAGACAUUUAAGAAAAUACAGAAAAAUGUAACUACUUUAAAACAAAAAAACUUCUGUGUAUCAAAAAACACUAUACACUAAAAAUAUAAGCCAUAGAUUAAAAUAAUACAUGUGUGAUGCACAUAAUCUAUGAAAGAUUUGUAUCUAAUAUCUAUAAAGAUCUACACGUUAAGAAAAAUGACAAAACAAUUCAGCAGAAAAAUGUUCCAACUAUGUGAACACGCAAGUGACAGAGGCAGAAACUAGAAAGGUAUGAAAGACGUUCAGCUUCACUUGCAAUCAGGGAAAUGAAAAACUGAGAUUGGUGAAAAAACGCGAAAGCCUGCCGAGCCUUGGCAGGGAUGGUGGAGCAGAUACUCCUGGUCAGCUGGUGAAACAUCAUCUCCAACCUCUGUGCCCUUGGCUGCUCCCUACUAGAGUUUGACCUUCCUUCCGGCUGGAGGAGGACACGAGCCACAGCACUGGGUGUGGAAGUGGGCUGAAGAGCACUGGGAAGCUUUGCCUCUUCUGGCAUCCCUCUCUUCGUCCUCCUCUGAGCAGAGAAGUGAUGUCUCAUAUCACUGCAGCCUUCAUAUAACCUUGGGAGACGAGCAUGAAGGUAAAGCCAAGCUCCUCACAGAGACGCUGCUUCUGACCUGAUCGAUCUGCUCCAGUAGUAGCAGCUGCUUGUCUCCAAAAUGUUACGUGAGAAAAGGCAAACUCUUAUUAAAGAAGUCACUGUGAGUCAGAUGUCCUAUACGUGCAAUGAAGUGCAUUCCUGAUUGAUACAGAUGUAGAGAAAAUGAAACUCCUUUACACUAUCGGUAGGAAACUAAAUAAAAUGUAGUGAUUUUAUAGAGCAAUUGGGCAGUAGGAAUCAGCCAUGUCACUUCUAGGAAUAUACAUGUAAGUUUCACUUUUAGGGAUAUGCAUAGUAUGUGUGGAUGUGUGUAUAUACAGUAUAUGAUGAUGUACACAUGUAGACACAGAAGCAUAUACACACACAUAUAUAUUAUAAAUGCCUAUGUAAAUAUAAAUAUAUAAAGAGGAGAAAAAGAUACAAGAGAAUGUUCAGAGUUAUGAUUUGUAAUCUAAAAAAAUUAGAAACUGACAUGAUCUUCAAUCAGAAAAAGAUAAUUUGAAAUAAUACAUAGCCACUAAAAUAAAUACACUAGAUCUACAUGUCUCAAAGUGAAUUAAACUUAGUAUGAUCUUGAUAUAAAAAGAAAAGUUACAACAUGACAUGUAGAGAAAAUAUCACUUAAGGGCUGGGCGCGGUGGCUCACGCCUGUAAUCCCAGCACUUUGGGAGGCCGAGGUGGGCGGAUCAUGAGGUCAGGAGUUUGAGACCAGCUGGCCAAUAUGGUGAAACCCUGUCUCUACCAAAAAUACAAAAAUUAGCCGGGCAUGGUGGUGCACGCCUGUAGUCCCAGCUACUUGGGAGGCUGAGGCAGAAGAAUCUCUUGAACCCGGGAGGUGGAGGUUGCAGUGAGCCAAGAUUGUGCCACUGCACUCCAGCCUGGGCAAUAUUGAGACUCCAUCUCAAAAAAAAAAAAAAAGAAAAAAGAAAAUACCUCUUAAAUAAUGCUUGAAAACAUGUAAAACAUGAUAUUUUUGCUUUACAUAUAUAUGUAGGAAUAGUAUAAAAAUGUGAGUGGCUAUAAUAAACAUGACAUUUGGAGUGAUGUCCUAGAGAAUGAGGGAAGGGAACUGAGUCUGAGGGGGUUCCAAAGGGGCUUCAAUUACAUCAGAUGUAUUUCAUUUCUGAACCUGCCUUAUCUGCUUAUCAAAAACCAAAACAAGCCCACACGUGGUGGCUCACACCUGUAAUCCCAGCACUUUGGGAGGCUGAGGCAGGAGGACUGCUUGAGGCCAAGAGUUGAAGACCAGCCUGGGCAACAUAGCAAGACCCCUUCUCUAUUAAAAAAAAGCAGAAACAAAUAAAUACGAAAAAAUGCUAAAUUUAUUUAUCUAUAUAAUGUUUUCAGGAUAUAUAUUAUAUUAUUUUGUAUACAUUUCAGUGUGCUCGAUGUAUCUGAUGCUCUUUAAAAAGCUUGCUUUCUAAAAUAUGCAACUAAUUGAUACAAAUGUAUCACAUUCCAUUUGAUAAUUGGGUAAAAGAAAUUAAUGGAUCAUUCGAUAACAUGGAACUACAGAUAAGAAAUCACACAGAAUAAUGCAUAUUUAUUUAAUAAGUGUUUCUAAUAAUAUUAAGAUACUAUUUUAGGCCGUGCUCUGUGCUUUACACCUGUAAUCCCAGCACUUUGGGAGGUCUGGGUGGGAGGAUUGCUUGAAGCCAGAAGUUCUCAAAACCAGCUUGACAACAAAGCAAGGCCCUGUCUCUACAAAAUAAAAAGUAAAAAAUAAAAAACACUAUUUUAUACUUAUCUACUAAAUAAAUAGGAAUUAUAAAAUAUCAGUGCUGUUGUACCUGAGAAUGACAAAUUUUAAAUGUUUUUGAUCACAUUGCCAAUUAUUUUAGUUGUUCUGGGAAAAAAAUGUGAUGAGCUAUGAAAUUACUGGGUAUGAUUUGGCACAAUAAUCUUACUCUCUGGAACAUUCUCCAAGGAAAUAAACAUAUUUAGAAGUUAUUUACUUAAAAAUAUUUAUAGUAAUGCUAUUUAUGAUUGCAAAAACAAAAACGCAGCAGGGAAAAACCCAAAUGACUAAGAAUAGGAGAUGGCAAGCAAAAAGUCAUAUUACAACAGAAGUUUACUGCAGAGCUAUAAAAAUGUCAACUGUGAGGUUCAUGCUGAUGCAUAAAAAUAUGAAAUAAAAUUAAUUUUGUCAAG